GAUGAAGAACGUAGUGAAAUGCGAUAAGUAAUGUGAAUUGCAGAAUUCAGUGAAUCAUCGAAUCUUUGAACGCACAUUGCGCCCCUUGGUAUUCCGGGGGGCAUGCCUGUUCGAGCGUCAUUUCAACCCUCAAGCUCAGCUUGGUAUUGAGUCCAUGUCAGUAAUGGCAGGCUCUAAAAUCAGUGGCGGCGCCGCUGGGUCCUGAACGUAGUAAUAUCUCUCGUUACAGGUUCUCGGUGUGCUUCUGCCAAAACCCAAAUUUUCUAUGGUUGACCUCGGAUCAGGAAGGGAUACCCGCUGAACUUAAGCAUAUCAAUAAGCGGAGGA
RNAcentral lists this unclassified non-coding RNA (327 nucleotides) under soil metagenome. RNAcentral describes it as "partial contains 5.8S ribosomal RNA, internal transcribed spacer 2, and large subunit ribosomal RNA". The stretch from base 1 to 120 matches the Rfam family "5.8S ribosomal RNA", at positions 35 to 154 of the family's 154-position model. The record is from RNAcentral.